UGCGAGAUAGUGAAGAGGUCUCACACGAGGUUCAUGCCCUCGAAACCCUAGUUCGAAUCUAGGUCUCGCUU
Molecule: transfer RNA, 71 nt
Rfam family: tRNA
About the family: Transfer RNA (tRNA) molecules are approximately 80 nucleotides in length. Their secondary structure includes four short double-helical elements and three loops (D, anti-codon, and T loops).
Source: Rfam